UUAUCUUUCUAAAUAAGUUUAUGUUCUAUUUUGAUUUUUUUUAUUUUAAAAGUUUGAUUCUGUCUUUAUAAUUUUUUUUAUAAAUUAAUUAUAUGUAAUUUUAAUAAUUUAAAUUUAAACAGUAAGUAAUAUUGAUAGCUAUUUUAGUUUAUAUUCAGAUAUUUAUUUAAAGUUAGAUAAAUUUUGUGCCAGCAUUCGCGGUUAUACAAAUUUAAUUGAAAUUAUUUUUUAUAUGUAAUUUGAUUAUUUAUUUAUGAUUUUAAUUAAAAUUUAUUUAGGUGGAAUUUAUAUGUUUAUUAGUAAUCUUUAUUAAUAUUUUUAUAAAUAUUAAUUUUAAAUUAGGAUUAGAUACCCUUUUAUUUUUUGUUUAGAUUAAAUCAAAGAAUAUUAAUAGUUAUGUUCUAUAAAACUUAAAGAAUUUGGCGGUGGUUAAUCUUUUCAGGGGAAUCUGUUUAUUAAUUGAUAAACCACGUUAAUUUAUACUUAAAUUUAAUUUGUAUAUCGCUAUAAUGAAUAAUCUUUAAGGAAUUUUCUAUUUUAAUUAUUUGAUUUAUAUUAGGUCAAGGUGCAGUUUUAUUUAAGUUUAAAUGGAUUACUUUAAUUAUAAUUUAUAUUGGAUGAUUAUAUAUAAUUUUAAUUUUAAAUAGGAUUUGAUAGUAAUUUUAUAUAAUUAUUUAAUUUGAAUUAAGUUAUAAACCAUGUACAUAUUGCCCGUCACUCCAAAUUUAUUGGAUAAGUCGUAACAAAGUAAUUUUACUGGAAGGUGAGGUUAGAUUACU
This 779-nucleotide ribosomal RNA is filed under the name Cladolidia biungulata. Its description in RNAcentral is "12S ribosomal RNA". The record is from RNAcentral. Lineage: Eukaryota; Metazoa; Arthropoda; Insecta; Hemiptera; Cicadellidae.